GCAAGUCGAGGGGUAAAAGGGAGCUUGCUACGCUGAGGACCGGCGCACGGGUGCGUAACGCGUAAAGAACCUACCUUUUACUGAGGGAUAGCCUUUAGAAAUGAUGAUUAAUAACUCAUAGUAUUGAUUAAUCGCAUGAUUAAUUAAUUAAAGAUUUAUUGGUAAAAGAUGGCUAUGCGUCCUAUUAGCUAGAUGGUAAGGUAACGGCUUACCAAGGCGACGAUAGGUAGGGGUCCUGAGAGGGAGAUC
Molecule: ribosomal RNA, 249 nt
Filed under: uncultured bacterium
Lineage: Bacteria
Description: partial 16S ribosomal RNA
Rfam family: Bacterial small subunit ribosomal RNA
Source: RNAcentral